AUUUUCCGCUUUCUUU
This 16-nucleotide small RNA is filed under the name Arabidopsis thaliana (thale cress). Its description in RNAcentral is "ATSL250740". Lineage: Eukaryota; Viridiplantae; Streptophyta; Magnoliopsida; Brassicales; Brassicaceae. The record is from RNAcentral.